GACUAUUGGGCUCUAAAAUAUGCACACAUCGCCCGUCGCUCUCGUGAUAAAUGAGAUAAGUCGUAACAUAGUAGAUGUAUUGGAAAAUGUAUCUAGAAAGUCA
This 103-nucleotide ribosomal RNA is filed under the name Hetaerina americana (American ruby spot damselfly). RNAcentral describes it as "partial small subunit ribosomal RNA". Lineage: Eukaryota; Metazoa; Arthropoda; Insecta; Odonata; Calopterygidae. RNAcentral also lists the same sequence under 1 other name. The record is from RNAcentral.